GACGAACGCUGGCGGCGUGCUUAACACAUGCAAGUCGAACGGAAAGGCCCUGCUUUUGUGGGGUGCUCGAGUGGCGAACGGGUGAGUAACACGUGAGUAACCUGCCCUUGACUUUGGGAUAACUUCAGGAAACUGGGGCUACUACCGGCUAUUAGCUCCUGCUGCAUGGUGGGGGUUGGAAAGUUUCGGUGGUUGGUGAUGGACUCGCGGCUUAUCAGCUUGUUGGUGGGGUAGUGGCUUACCCAGGCUUUGACGGGUAGCCGGCCUGAGAGGGUGACCGGCCACAUGGGGACUGAGAUACGGCCCAGACGACUACGGGAGGCAGCAGGGGGGAAUAUUGCACAAUGAGCGGGAGCCUGAUGCAGCAACGCCGCGUGCGGGAUGACGGCCUUCGGGUUGUAAACCGAUUUCGCCUGUGACGAAGCGUGAGUGACGGUAAUGGGUAAAGAAGCACCGGCUAACUACGUG
Molecule: ribosomal RNA, 468 nt
Filed under: uncultured bacterium
Lineage: Bacteria
Description: partial 16S ribosomal RNA
Rfam family: Bacterial small subunit ribosomal RNA
Source: RNAcentral